GAUGAACGCUGGCGGCGUGCUUAACACAUGCAAGUCGAACGAUGAAGCCCAGCUUGCUGGGUGGAUUAGUGGCGAACGGGUGAGUAACACGUGAGUAACCUGCCCUUAACUCUGGGAUAAGCCUGGGAAACUGGGUCUAAUACCGGAUAGGAGCGUCCACCGCAUGGUGGGUGUUGGAAAGAUUUAUCGGUUUUGGAUGGACUCGCGGCCUAUCAGCUUGUUGGUGAGGUAAUGGCUCACCAAGGCGACGACGGGUAGCCGGCCUGAGAGGGUGACCGGCCAACCUGGACAUGGGACAGGGCCAAGAUUCCUAGGGGAGGGGGCGGUGGGGAAUUUUGCCAAAGGGGCGCAAGCCUGAUGAAGCAACGCCGGGGGGGGAAUAGCGGCCUUGGGGUGUUAAACAUUUUUCAGUAGGGAAGAGGCGAAAGUGACGGUACCUGAAAAAGAAGCCCCGGCGAACUACGG
This 465-nucleotide ribosomal RNA is filed under the name uncultured bacterium. RNAcentral describes it as "partial 16S ribosomal RNA". It matches the Rfam family "Bacterial small subunit ribosomal RNA", at positions 28 to 506 of the family's 1533-position model. The record is from RNAcentral.